RNAcentral lists this ribosomal RNA (424 nucleotides) under uncultured prokaryote. RNAcentral describes it as "bacterial SSU rRNA". It matches the Rfam family "Bacterial small subunit ribosomal RNA", at positions 355 to 776 of the family's 1533-position model. The record is from RNAcentral. RNAcentral also lists the same sequence under 1 other name.
UGAGGAAUAUUGGUCAAUGGACGCAAGUCUGAACCAGCCAUGCCGCGUGCAGGAUGACGGCUCUAUGAGUUGUAAACUGCUUUUGUAUAAGGGUAAACCCAGGUACGUGUACCUGGCUGAAAGUACUAUACGAAUAAGGAUCGGCUAACUCCGUGCCAGCAGCCGCGGUAAUACGGAGGAUCCAAGCGUUAUCCGGAUUUAUUGGGUUUAAAGGGUGCGUAGGCGGUUUGAUAAGUUAGAGGUGAAAUACCGGGGCUCAACUCCGGAACUGCCUCUAAUACUGUUGAACUAGAGAGUAGUUGCUGUGGGCGGAAUGUAUGGUGUAGCGGUGAAAUGCUUAGAGAUCAUACAGAACACCGAUUGCGAAGGCAGCUCACAAAACUAUAUCUGACGUUGAGGCACGAAAGCGUGGGGAGCAAACAGG